Molecule: ribosomal RNA, 504 nt
Filed under: uncultured bacterium
Lineage: Bacteria
Description: partial 16S ribosomal RNA
Rfam family: Bacterial small subunit ribosomal RNA
Source: RNAcentral
AUUGAACGCUGGCGGCAGGCCUAACACAUGCAAGUCGAACGGUAGCACAGAGAGCUUGCUCUCGGGUGACGAGUGGCGGACAGGUGAGUAACGUCUGGGAAACUGCCCGAUGGAGGGGGAUAACUACUGGAAACGGUAGCUAAUACCGCAUAACGUCGCAAGACCAAAGUGGGGGACCUUCGGGCCUCACACCAUCGGAUGUGCCCAGAUGGGACUAGCUAGUAGGUGGGGUAAUGGCUCACCUAGGCGACGAUCCCUAGCUGGUCUGAGAGGAUGACCAGCCACCCUGGAACUGAGACACGGUCCAGACUCCUACGGGAGGCAGCAGUGGGGAAUAUUGCACAAUGGGCGCAAGCCUGAUGCAGCCAUGCCGCGUGUAUGAAGAAGGCCUUCGGGUUGUAAAGUACUUUCAGCGGGGAGGAAGGCGGUGAAGUUAACAGCUUCACCGAUUGACGUUACCCGCAGAAGAAGCACCGGCUAACUCCGUGCCAGCAGCCGCCGUAA